CAGUCGCCGCGGUAACACGAAGGGGGCUAGCGUUGCUCGGAAUGACUGGGCGUAAAGGGCGCGUAGGCGGUUUAUACAGUCAGAUGUGAAAUUCCUGGGCUCAACCUGGGGACUGCAUUUGAUACGUAUGGACUUGAGUGGAGAAGAGGGUCGUGGAAUUUCCAGUGUAGAGGUGAAAUUCGUAGAUAUUGGAAAGAACACCGGUGGCGAAGGCGGCGACCUGGUCUUUAACUGACGCUGAGGCGCGAAAGCGCGGGGAGCAAACAGGAUUAGAUACCCGAGUAGUCCCUGUCUCUUAUAC
Molecule: ribosomal RNA, 301 nt
Filed under: uncultured bacterium
Lineage: Bacteria
Description: partial 16S ribosomal RNA
Rfam family: Bacterial small subunit ribosomal RNA
Source: RNAcentral